RNAcentral lists this long non-coding RNA (530 nucleotides) under Chrysemys picta bellii (western painted turtle). Its description in RNAcentral is "lncRNA (ENSCPBG00000028206.1)". Lineage: Eukaryota; Metazoa; Chordata; Testudines; Emydidae. The record is from RNAcentral.
UAUCCCAGCUCACACUCCUAGUCCUCCUCACCACCCCAAUUUAUACUCCUGGUCAUGCCCUCAGGAAUUGCCCCCUUCUCUCUCAAACUCCUGGCCUCUCCACAGACUCCUGACUAAGCGCUUCAGCUAAUCACUUUCCAACGUGCUUCCUCACACUGCUGCACAGACUCCGCUGUGGAGGGAGUAAGCUGCUCGGUGAGGCCUCCUCAGUCUGUGCAUAGUGCCUCCCAGCAAGGGCAUAGCAGGAAGUGCUGCAGUAGCUGGUGCUAUCCUUCUUUGCAACCUGCUUUCCUGGCAGCAUGGCUCACCAGGCCUUGGCAAAACCUGCUCUCUUUUCGUCACAAUCCCUGUAAUGAAUUGAGGUAUACAAAGCUGGUCAUACAAUACGUAGCAGCAGCGCGGAGAAAGACUCUUAGGGAAGAGUUUCCAUAGAAACACUGACGUCCUGCCCUGCUAACAGGACAUCGAGUUCCUUGAACGGGAGGAUGAUAUACUGCUUGCGUGUCUUUUUGUUAAAGGUGAUGUUCUAU